UUUCAGCAUCAGCUAGCUUUGCCAAAAACUCAUCUUCUUUCUUGUCGUCUCUCUCUGCCAUCUCAGACAAACCCCCCGUACCAGCUAACACUUCAUCAAAACACUCAGCAUCUCUCUAUAACCCGAAGAUCGCAUCAUUCCAUCGAUGAACUCUGCCUUCAUCUGCAACCCCUGAGUUGAAGUCUCCAUGUAGAUACCAAUCAGACCACAUCUUAUAAGCCUUUUCCAUUCCCCUAGUAACGAGAUGGUUAACUACCACACUUCCUGAGUGACGAUCUAUAUUACGGCAGUCAAUGCAAGGACAGAGAAUCAUAUCAAUCCCUCCCAAAGAUGCAGCCACAUCUCGUACGAACUUUGAAGCCAAUCUCUCAUAAGCAGGAUCAACUCUACGGUUAAGAAUCAAAAGGAAAAGCAAAUAAACAAGUUAAUUAAGUCUCAAAACACUUACUGAAAAGUAACAUAUAUGAUUGAAUUCAUCACCUGCUAAGAUGCACCCAUGCUUUGUCCACCAUUGUAUGUUCUAACCUGAAUUGAAACCUUUACUAACAUAAAGAACCAAUUCAAAGUAAAAUUAAUCAAAUUCAGAACACGUAGCUCAAAACAUAUCCGUAGAUGAUAACUCGAUAUAUAUACACCUCAA
This 640-nucleotide long non-coding RNA is filed under the name Brassica napus (rape). RNAcentral's name for it is "long non-coding RNA (BNAP_LNC025929)". Lineage: Eukaryota; Viridiplantae; Streptophyta; Magnoliopsida; Brassicales; Brassicaceae. The record is from RNAcentral.